Molecule: long non-coding RNA, 714 nt
Organism: Gallus gallus (chicken)
Lineage: Eukaryota; Metazoa; Chordata; Aves; Galliformes; Phasianidae
Exons: 3
Source: RefSeq, a predicted model, not a curated record
ACUUGGCCUCAGGCCUACAUGAUGGUGUUUGGUUGGGCUCAGUGCAACCAAGGCACCUCAAUAAGAUGAUGUCAUAAGGACUUCAGCAUGAACCUGUGGAACUUCAGAACUAGCUGUCAGUCCCACAUCAUGCUUUCUGUGACCUGUAUAUAGCAGUGUUGUGGUUUCACAUGUGAUGAGGGGGAAGAAGAGGGAGAAGUCCUCCCUGGCCUCUUCUACCCUUCCGUUCCCUCUUUGCAGAGAAGAAAAACAAAAACAGCCCAAUUAAGAAAAGGAGAGAUAACAAGUUUACUAGAAAUUACAAAAGAUUAUAAGAUAAUGAUAUAAAAAAGGAAUUACAGUGUAUUACUCUUGGAGAGCCAAAAUUGAGACUUCUAGAAGCGCAGGAUGAAUGAAUUCAGCACCACAGUGCACUAUGUUUCAGCACCCAACAGCUAAUCAUAUGAUGUCAUGAUUAGGGAUGCUGAUAAAACCAGGACAAGUUGGAAAUGUGUAGUCUACAGAAAUAGCCACUGCAGUGUUGACUUUGGCAAAGAUGAGAAGACCAGGUGUGUGCCACCUGCAGCAGUAUUUCUAGCUACUUGGGAGCAAACAGCAUUUAGUACUGGCCAAGGUUGUGCUGUUAGAUCUGUGGGUGAAAACUUGAAACUGUGGCUUUAAUGUUUUAGUACUGGAACCACAUGCCAAUAAAGCGCUCUUGUCUUGUUCUGGUGA